UACGAAGGGGGCUAGCGUUGUUCGGAAUCACUGGGCGUAAAGGGCGCGUAGGCGGCUUUGUAAGUCGGGGGUGAAAGCCUGUGGCUCAACCACAGAAUUGCCUUCGAUACUGCAUGGCUUGAGACCGGAAGAGGUAAGUGGAACUGCGAGUGUAGAGGUGAAAUUCGUAGAUAUUCGCAAGAACACCAGUGGCGAAGGCGGCUUACUGGUCCGGUUCUGACGCUGAGGCGCGAAAGCGUGGGGAGUAAACAGG
Molecule: ribosomal RNA, 253 nt
Filed under: uncultured bacterium
Lineage: Bacteria
Description: partial 16S ribosomal RNA
Rfam family: Bacterial small subunit ribosomal RNA
Source: RNAcentral